Molecule: ribosomal RNA, 119 nt
Filed under: Phaseolus vulgaris (common bean)
Lineage: Eukaryota; Viridiplantae; Streptophyta; Magnoliopsida; Fabales; Fabaceae
Source: RNAcentral
AGGUGCGAUCACACCAGCACUAAUGCACCGGAUCCCAUCAGAACUCGCUAGAUAAGCGUGCUUGGGCGAGAGUAGAACUAGGAUGGGUGACCUCCUGGGAAGUCCUCGUGUUGCACUUC